RNAcentral lists this ribosomal RNA (494 nucleotides) under uncultured bacterium. Its description in RNAcentral is "partial 16S ribosomal RNA". It matches the Rfam family "Bacterial small subunit ribosomal RNA", at positions 28 to 507 of the family's 1533-position model. The record is from RNAcentral.
GACGAACGCUGGCGGCGUGCUUAACACAUGCAAGUCGAACGGAAAGGCCUGCUUUCCCUUGUGGAUUGCGGGUACUCGAGUGGCGAACGGGUGAGUAACACGUGAGUGAUCUGCCCCCAACUUGGUUAUAAGCCAGGCAAACUGCGUCUAUUUUCCGCUAGGACUGCAGGGUGGUGCGUGUGGUGGGAAACGAUCUUCUAGUGGUGGUGGAUGAGCACGGGGCCUAUCAGCUGGUUGGCGGGGUAAUGGCCUAGCAAGGCGGCGACGGGUAGCCGGCCUGAGAGGCUGGAGGGGGACAUUGAGACUGAGCAGCGACCCUGAGUCGGAGGGGAGGCAGAAGUGGGGACUAUAGGACGAAGGGGAGAAGCCUGAAGCAGCGACGAAGGGUGGAGGAUGCAGGCCUUAGGGUUUUAAACUCCUUUCGAGGUCGAAGAGGCCACCUGGCUAGGAAGGUGGUGACGGUAGUUGUAGAAGAAGCCCCGGCUAACUCCGUG